CAAUUGCUUCGUGCAAUUAAACCUAGACUAGACUAGGAAGGUGCGCUGCAGCUGGAAUUGCUUCAUGCAAUUAGACUGCUCUUUCAGUUUCCUUUCUUUCACGUUACUUCAUUGCAGAUUUGAUUUCUCUUUCUUUGCUUCUCCUGGAAUUCAUAGGUUCUCAAUCCUGUUUUUUUUUAUUACCCAGGAUCAUGGCGGCCGCGAUGACAGGCAAGAUGGCGACGGCGGCGACGACGGUGGGCGAUGCGGGGGAGGAGGCGGCGGCGUCAACGGCUCGAGGAGGACGACGCAGAGGAGACAGGGGAUGCGGAGGUGUCUCUCUGAUAUAAGAGAAGGAGAAGGCAAGCGACCUCUGGACAAGAAUCUUCGACGGCGCAUGAGUGUCAGUCCACAUCGAACCAGCAAGUUCUAAUCGUCGUUGUUCGCCUUCCAUCCGUGAGCACUCCACAGCGAACUGAUAUGUGUUCGAUGGAUAUGCAAGGAGACAAAUCUCAUUAUUAAUAUUCUGCCACAUAUCAUCAGAUUGUGGCUACUAUUCAGUUAAGACCGUUUCUCUAUCAGUGGCUCUGAAAGUUCCUUCUAGAGAAAGUUAUUGUUGUAGGAAAUAAGACAAUUUGGAGCAAGUUGACCUAGAAGUGCUAACAGGAUUAGAGGUGAUGUAGCAAAUGUACAUUUUUUUAGAUGAUGCAACAUCCUACUAUGAAACAUUUGCAUUAAAGAACUCACAUGGCAAGAUGCCUAUUUCUUUGUCUUAUUUCUGUUUUCUCAAGACAAGCUUGUUUCCUUUGGUAAUAAGCCUUUUAGAGAAGAGCAGCUUGCUACAAAGGAGAUUCAAGCGACUGGUCCAGCUCUAGAUUGAGAUUUGCUUGGCCUUGAAACAUCAGCACUUACCUAAUUAUAUAUCGAUCUGUUUUCUAAUUUAUUGUGCAACACCAUUAGGAUUAUUUUUUACUAUGGCAUAUUGUUUGCAUCAGCAGUAAGAUUGAGGAGCAGCUGAUCCUAAAGAUACUCCAGCAUGUUAAUUAUUGUCCAACAUGAGCACAAAAGAAAUGUAACAUUUUCCUCCAUUUAUUGGAGUUUAUACAAUAGAAAGGAACAACCAAACAAGUAAUUAUGUACGGUCGUUGUCAAGUUUCAAACAAAUUCAUCAUGGGCAUGCCAUUAUAUAAUGUGGGUGGUCAAAAUUCAUUUAC
Non-coding RNA from Lolium perenne, 1193 nucleotides. Lineage: Eukaryota; Viridiplantae; Streptophyta; Magnoliopsida; Poales; Poaceae. The record is from RefSeq and is a predicted model, not a curated record.